This is a long non-coding RNA of Monopterus albus (swamp eel), 1457 nucleotides long. RefSeq lists it as uncharacterized. The record is from RefSeq and is a predicted model, not a curated record. Lineage: Eukaryota; Metazoa; Chordata; Actinopteri; Synbranchiformes; Synbranchidae. The transcript has 4 exons.
AGGAAACACAUCAGGAGGAGAUAGGAAAUGAGGAGAGGAAGCAACAGAAGAGUAGAGGAAAUGUCACAAGAGAACUAAACAUUGGAGAAAGGAGGAAAUGAGUGGACAGACAGAAGGAAACAUGGGAGGAAAAAAGAAACCACAGGAUGAGUGGAGAGAUCACCCCAGAUUUGACUGAGUUGUAACUCCAGAAUGAGAAUGGAUUCAGGCUCAAAUUGCCAGUAAGGCCGCGAAUGGUGUCUUCUUCUUCUUCAGCUGACAGUCUACAGAACAAAGGAGAGAAGCGUGCAAAUAGCAGAAGAUGAGUGACACUCGCAAACGUAUUUUAAUAACAGACAACACAAAGGCAUAAAGUAGAAUUUGUAAAAUAAAGCAUCAUAUCAUGAGGGGUCUACUAACGUUCUCCUUACAGUUGUAUUCAAACUGUACAUAGUUUUAGAUGUUUGUAUUUUAAUGACUUUAAUGUAAAAUGUGUAUUUGGGAAUUUCUAAGGUUUAGUAUAAUAACAUUUAAUAAUUUAAGUGAUAUAGGUGCACACACAUACGAGUCCUAGGUAAAAACACUGCAACAUUUGGCUCAGUUAUAAAAGCUAGAGGUAGAACUAAAUGAAGUCCCUUUGGGAGCCAGAAUUCCCAUCACUAUUGUGCUUCUUGUUCUGUGGUGUUUUUUUCCAUUCCCUACUGUCACUCCAAAGGGUCCCCCUUUUUCUUUCAUGAUUAUUGAACGAACUUGUGUACAACCAGCAUGGCUCAUUACAUCUUAUAAGGAUUAGGUGCUUAUACAAAAUACAAAUAAGUGAAUAAAGUAAAUAAAAGUAAAGUACAAUAUUACAGUAUAAAGAACUAGGGCUUGUUUUUAGAAAUUAUAUUCUUCAGUUAUGUUAAAGUUUAACUGAAUUUUUGUUUUCAUAACCUCGAGGGCUUAAACAAGAAUCUCAGUGUGAAAUACACAGAAACGAGGUCUUGUUGUUGUGUACUUUGACUUGUGUGUGUAACAUUUUCUAAGAAUAAUGAUGUUGAUUAGAAAAUGAACUGUAGAGUUGUCCAUAUUAUGUCAUUCUGAGUAAAGUCUCUGAGGUGAUGAAUCUUUGCUGUCUCUCCAAAGGGGAUUAUUUCCACCUGUGCUCCAGGUGUGAUCUCUCAUUGGUCCAUUUGAAUCUGAUGGAGACAAACAGAGGAGAGCUCCAGCAACAUUUCAGUGACUUGUCCUUUUUUUGCUGCUGUGUUGUUUAAUUCACCUUCAUCAGACUGAGAGGAACGUAAUCGGGAAACAACCUGUAACCGCAUGCAGAUCAGUGAUCUUCAAAGUCUGGUCCGGGGAUCCUGCUGAGGUCCUGGAGGAGUCAAGUGGGUUCACAGAAAAUGUCUGCACAAGCAGCAGAGCCCACGGCUGCCGGAGAGGACUCUACUGAUGUAGAGUUAACAGUUACGCCCCUGUGCACUCAGUGAGAUCUCAGC